This is a long non-coding RNA of Pan troglodytes (chimpanzee), 528 nucleotides long. RefSeq lists it as uncharacterized. NCBI's taxonomy places the organism in Eukaryota, Metazoa, Chordata, Mammalia, Primates, Hominidae. The record is from RefSeq and is a predicted model, not a curated record. The transcript has 5 exons.
AGAACCCAAAGAUUAUAUCUUCUGAGAACAUCAGAGAAAGACUGUCCUUGAUAUCCACAAUACGGCAAAACUUCAGGACCUUAAACCUUGGGUUCAUAAUCUCACAAUUGAGCAGUGUCCCAUCACACUCUUGGGACUGUACACCCCCUGAAACCCUUAAGAUUGUACAACAAAUAAUGAAUGGAAAACUCUAAAGGGUAUUUAAACCCCAGAAAACGGAUUAAUGAAGCCACUGCUUAGUUAAAGACCAUCAAGCUUCAGAUGAUCAUGCAACAAGUGUUCCAGCCAGUUCCGGGUGAAGUCACCACCCGUGGCCAUCAAGGAACUACCCUGACUCCACUAGACAGGGCAGGGCAAGAGUUUCAUGAUCCCCAAUAGCUUUCUCUCCCCUUUUAAAAGGCCUGAAACAAUAACUCUAUACUUCAACUCAUUUUCAGCUCUGAGUCAAGAAAACUUUUCUUUUGAGCUGUUGACAGCUUGUAGCAACAAUAUUUGGAGCAUAUUUAUUUCUCUCUACCUGAUUUCUCC